RNAcentral lists this transfer RNA (73 nucleotides) under Bacteroidota bacterium. RNAcentral's name for it is "Bacteroidetes bacterium (activated sludge metagenome) tRNA-Val". It matches the Rfam family "tRNA". From Rfam's summary of the family: Transfer RNA (tRNA) molecules are approximately 80 nucleotides in length. Their secondary structure includes four short double-helical elements and three loops (D, anti-codon, and T loops). Lineage: Bacteria; Pseudomonadati; Bacteroidota. The record is from RNAcentral.
GGGAUCUUAGCUCAGCUGGGAGAGCAUCUGCCUUACAAGCAGAGGGUCACAGGUUCGAAUCCUGUUGCUCCCA